GAUGAACCCUGGCGGCGUGCCUAAUACAUGCAAGUCGAGCGAACAGACGAGGAGCUUGCUCCUCUGACGUUAGCGGCGGACGGGUGAGUAACACGUGGAUAACCUACCUAUAAGACUGGGAUAACUUCGGGAAACCGGAGCUAAUACCGGAUAAUAUAUUGAACCGCAUGGUUCAAUAGUGAAAGACGGUUUUGCUGUCACUUAUAGAUGGAUCCGCGCCGCAUUAGCUAGUUGGUAAGGUAACGGCUUACCAAGGCAACGAUGCGUAGCCGACCUGAGAGGGUGAUCGGCCACACUGGAACUGAGACACGGUCCAGACUCCUACGGGAGGCAGCAGUAGGGAAUCUUCCGCAAUGGGCGAAAGCUUGACGGAGCAACGCCGCGUGAGUGAUGAAGGUCUUCGGAUCGUAAAACUCUGUUAUUAGGGAAGAACUAAUGUGUAAGUAACUAUGCACGUCUUGACGGUACCUAAUCAGAAAGCCACGGCUAACUACGUG
RNAcentral lists this ribosomal RNA (497 nucleotides) under uncultured bacterium. RNAcentral's name for it is "partial 16S ribosomal RNA". It matches the Rfam family "Bacterial small subunit ribosomal RNA", at positions 28 to 507 of the family's 1533-position model. The record is from RNAcentral.